ACCCAGCUGAUGAGUCCCAGAUAGGACGAGACGCGCAUCCUGAAU
This 45-nucleotide non-coding RNA is filed under the name Schistosoma mansoni. Lineage: Eukaryota; Metazoa; Platyhelminthes; Trematoda; Strigeidida; Schistosomatidae. The record is from RNAcentral.